RNAcentral lists this ribosomal RNA (2758 nucleotides) under Klebsiella pneumoniae. RNAcentral's name for it is "bacterial LSU rRNA". It matches the Rfam family "Bacterial large subunit ribosomal RNA". The record is from RNAcentral. Lineage: Bacteria; Pseudomonadati; Pseudomonadota; Gammaproteobacteria; Enterobacterales; Enterobacteriaceae.
CACUAUCGUUAACUGAAUACAUAGGUUAACGAGGCGAACCGGGGGAACUGAAACAUCUAAGUACCCCGAGGAAAAGAAAUCAACCGAGAUUCCCCCAGUAGCGGCGAGCGAACGGGGAGCAGCCCAGAGUCUGAAUCAGCUUGUGUGUUAGUGGAACGGUCUGGAAAGUCCGACGGUACAGGGUGAUAGUCCCGUACACCAAAAUGCACAGGCUGUGAACUCGAAGAGUAGGGCGGGACACGUGGUAUCCUGUCUGAAUAUGGGGGGACCAUCCUCCAAGGCUAAAUACUCCUGACUGACCGAUAGUGAACCAGUACCGUGAGGGAAAGGCGAAAAGAACCCCGGCGAGGGGAGUGAAAAAGAACCUGAAACCGUGUACGUACAAGCAGUGGGAGCACCUUCGGGUGUGACUGCGUACCUUUUGUAUAAUGGGUCAGCGACUUAUAUUCUGUAGCAAGGUUAACCGUAUAGGGGAGCCGCAGGGAAACCGAGUCUUAACUGGGCGUUAAGUUGCAGGGUAUAGACCCGAAACCCGGUGAUCUAGCCAUGGGCAGGUUGAAGGUUGGGUAACACUAACUGGAGGACCGAACCGACUAAUGUUGAAAAAUUAGCGGAUGACUUGUGGCUGGGGGUGAAAGGCCAAUCAAACCGGGAGAUAGCUGGUUCUCCCCGAAAGCUAUUUAGGUAGCGCCUCGUGAACUCAUCUUCGGGGGUAGAGCACUGUUUCGGCUAGGGGGUCAUCCCGACUUACCAACCCGAUGCAAACUACGAAUACCGAAGAAUGUUAUCACGGGAGACACACGGCGGGUGCUAACGUCCGUCGUGAAGAGGGAAACAACCCAGACCGCCAGCUAAGGUCCCAAAGUCAUGGUUAAGUGGGAAACGAUGUGGGAAGGCACAGACAGCCAGGAUGUUGGCUUAGAAGCAGCCAUCAUUUAAAGAAAGCGUAAUAGCUCACUGGUCGAGUCGGCCUGCGCGGAAGAUGUAACGGGGCUAAACCAUGCACCGAAGCUGCGGCAGCGACACUAUGUGUUGUUGGGUAGGGGAGCGUUCUGUAAGCCUGCGAAGGUGUGCUGUGAGGCAUGCUGGAGGUAUCAGAAGUGCGAAUGCUGACAUAAGUAACGAUAAAGCGGGUGAAAAGCCCGCUCGCCGGAAGACCAAGGGUUCCUGUCCAACGUUAAUCGGGGCAGGGUGAGUCGACCCCUAAGGCGAGGCCGAAAGGCGUAGUCGAUGGGAAACAGGUUAAUAUUCCUGUACUUGGUGUUACUGCGAAGGGGGGACGGAGAAGGCUAUGUUAGCCGGGCGACGGUUGUCCCGGUUUAAGCAUGUAGGCUGAUUGUCCAGGCAAAUCCGGAUAAUCAAGGCUGAGGUGUGAUGACGAGGCACUACGGUGCUGAAGUAACAAAUGCCCUGCUUCCAGGAAAAGCCUCUAAGCAUCAGGUAACAUUAAAUCGUACCCCAAACCGACACAGGUGGUCAGGUAGAGAAUACCAAGGCGCUUGAGAGAACUCGGGUGAAGGAACUAGGCAAAAUGGUGCCGUAACUUCGGGAGAAGGCACGCUGGUGUGUAGGUGAAGUCCCUGCGGAUGGAGCUGAGACCAGUCGAAGAUACCAGCUGGCUGCAACUGUUUAUUAAAAACACAGCACUGUGCAAACACGAAAGUGGACGUAUACGGUGUGACGCCUGCCCGGUGCCGGAAGGUUAAUUGAUGGGGUUAUCCGUAAGGAGAAGCUCUUGAUCGAAGCCCCGGUAAACGGCGGCCGUAACUAUAACGGUCCUAAGGUAGCGAAAUUCCUUGUCGGGUAAGUUCCGACCUGCACGAAUGGCGUAAUGAUGGCCAGGCUGUCUCCACCCGAGACUCAGUGAAAUUGAACUCGCUGUGAAGAUGCAGUGUACCCGCGGCAAGACGGAAAGACCCCGUGAACCUUUACUAUAGCUUGACACUGAACAUUGAGCCUUGAUGUGUAGGAUAGGUGGGAGGCUUUGAAGCGUGGACGCCAGUCUGCGUGGAGCCAACCUUGAAAUACCACCCUUUAAUGUUUGAUGUUCUAACGUUGGCCCCUGACCGGGGUUGCGGACAGUGUCUGGUGGGUAGUUUGACUGGGGCGGUCUCCUCCCAAAGCGUAACGGAGGAGCACGAAGGUUAGCUAAUCCUGGUCGGACAUCAGGAGGUUAGUGCAAUGGCAUAAGCUAGCUUGACUGCGAGCGUGACGGCGCGAGCAGGUGCGAAAGCAGGUCAUAGUGAUCCGGUGGUUCUGAAUGGAAGGGCCAUCGCUCAACGGAUAAAAGGUACUCCGGGGAUAACAGGCUGAUACCGCCCAAGAGUUCAUAUCGACGGCGGUGUUUGGCACCUCGAUGUCGGCUCAUCACAUCCUGGGGCUGAAGUAGGUCCCAAGGGUAUGGCUGUUCGCCAUUUAAAGUGGUACGCGAGCUGGGUUUAGAACGUCGUGAGACAGUUCGGUCCCUAUCUGCCGUGGGCGCUGGAGAAUUGAGGGGGGCUGCUCCUAGUACGAGAGGACCGGAGUGGACGCAUCACUGGUGUUCGGGUUGUCAUGCCAAUGGCACUGCCCGGUAGCUAAAUGCGGAAGAGAUAAGUGCUGAAAGCAUCUAAGCACGAAACUUGCCCCGAGAUGAGUUCUCCCUGAGACUUUAAGUCUCCUGAAGGAACGUUAAAGACGAUGACGUUGAUAGGCCGGGUGUGUAAGCGCAGCGAUGCGUUGAGCUAACCGGUACUAAUGAACCGUGAGGCUUAACCUU